RNAcentral lists this unclassified non-coding RNA (419 nucleotides) under uncultured fungus. RNAcentral's name for it is "partial contains small subunit ribosomal RNA, internal transcribed spacer 1, and 5.8S ribosomal RNA". The stretch from base 1 to 73 matches the Rfam family "Eukaryotic small subunit ribosomal RNA", at positions 1759 to 1831 of the family's 1831-position model. The record is from RNAcentral. Lineage: Eukaryota; Fungi.
UCAAACUUGGUCAUUUAGAGGAAGUAAAAGUCGUAACAAGGUUUCCGUAGGUGAACCUGCGGAAGGAUCAUUAACAAAUUGUCCAUUUUCCUUUGCAUAUGGAUGGUUCAAAUCCAUAUCCACCUUCGUGUGCACAUCAUUGACAUGUUUGCUUUGGCAGUUUGCGGGGAAGAUCCUUUACUGUUUCUUCUGUGGAGGGAAAAGGUUAUAGGGAGGGGGCUCACCCCCCUCUCUCUCCCUAUCCUUCCGGCGCUGCCAGAGUUUUUUUCUUCUUUCACUUUGACAAACUUUUGCUUCUUCUCGAAGCAAGCCCUGAAAAAACAUGAAUUUUUUUUUUUUUGGAAAACCAAAAAAUAAAUAAAUUGAAUACAACUUUCAACAACGGAUCUCUUGGCUCUCGCAUCGAUGAAGAACGCAGC